RNAcentral lists this ribosomal RNA (468 nucleotides) under uncultured bacterium. Its description in RNAcentral is "partial 16S ribosomal RNA". It matches the Rfam family "Bacterial small subunit ribosomal RNA", at positions 28 to 507 of the family's 1533-position model. The record is from RNAcentral.
GACGAACGCUGGCGGCGUGCUUAACACAUGCAAGUCGAACGGAAAGGCCCUGCUUGGGUGGGGUGCUCGAGUGGCGAACGGGUGAGUAACACGUGAGUAACCUGCCCUUGACUUUGGGAUAACGUCAGGAAACUGGGGCUAAUACCGGAUAGGAGCUCCGGCUGCAUGGUGGGGGUUGGAAAGUUUCGGCGGUUGGGGAUGUACUCGCGGCUUAUCAGCUUGUUGGUGGGGUAGUGGCUUACCAAGGCUUUGACGGGUAGCCGGCCUGAGAGGGUGACCGGCCACAUUGGGACUGAGAUACGGCCCAGACUCCUACGGGAGGCAGCAGUGGGGAAUAUUGCACAAUGGGCGGAAGCCUGAUGCAGCAACGCCGCGUGCGGGAUGACGGCCUUCGGGUUGUAAACCGCUUUCGCCUGUGACGAAGCGUGAGUGACGGUAAUGGGUAAAGAAGCACCGGCUAACUACGUG